GCUGGGCAUAGCGAUGUGCACCUGUAGUUCCAAGUACUUGGGAGGCUGAGGCAAGAGGAUCACUGGAGCCCAGGAGUUUGAGGCUGCAGUGAGCUAUGAUCUUGCCACUGCAGUCCAGCCUGGGCAAUAGAGUGAGACCCUGUCUCAG
Molecule: non-coding RNA, 148 nt
Filed under: Homo sapiens (human)
Lineage: Eukaryota; Metazoa; Chordata; Mammalia; Primates; Hominidae
Source: Rfam by way of RNAcentral